CCCUUAGAUGUUCGGGGCCGCACGCGCGCUACACUGAUGCAUUCAACGAGUCUAAAACCUGGUCUGAGAGGGCUGGGUAAUCUUUUGAAAGUGCAUCGUGAUUGGGAUAGAUGAUUGCAAUUCUUCAUCUUCAACGAGGAAUGCCUAGUAAACGCAAGUCAUCAGCUUGCAUUGAUUACGUCCCUGCCCUUUGUACACACCGCCCGUCGCUCCUACCGAUUGAACGAUCCGAUGAAAACUGUGGAUUGAGAGUCUGAGUGGGUUCGCCUACCUCAACUUUCGAGAAGCGGUUUAAAUCUUAUCGUUUAGAGGAAGGAGAAGUCGUAACA
This 329-nucleotide ribosomal RNA is filed under the name uncultured eukaryote. RNAcentral describes it as "partial 18S ribosomal RNA". It matches the Rfam family "Eukaryotic small subunit ribosomal RNA", at positions 1470 to 1796 of the family's 1831-position model. The record is from RNAcentral.